Long non-coding RNA from Hipposideros armiger (great roundleaf bat), 647 nucleotides. RefSeq lists it as uncharacterized. The transcript has 4 exons. NCBI's taxonomy places the organism in Eukaryota, Metazoa, Chordata, Mammalia, Chiroptera, Hipposideridae. The record is from RefSeq and is a predicted model, not a curated record.
GAGCCAGAAUGUGGAAGGAUCCUGCUCUCUUUCAUCUCCACAUGGCUCUCACACUAGCUGGGUGAGUUCUUCUUAUGGCGAUGGCACAGAAUUAAGAAAGGAGUGCAACAGCGAAGUAGUGAGAAGGAAGGACAUAAGGAGGACGGGGGCAUUAAAAGGAGACACAGAAAAGCAAGAAGGGAACCCCAGAUCCUGACUUCACAGUUCAUUAUACUUAGUUUUUUCUUCCUCCUUUUGGUGAACCUCCCAGGAAUGGUUUGAGGAAUUGGAUGGCAGCCAGGCUCUACAUUCAUCAAGAAGAGGUUAGCUUGGGGCAGAUCAGGGAGCGUAGGGGUGUAAACAUCGCCUGAAGACUAAUAACUUGGCAGAUAUUAUUUUGAGUAGAUAGGAAGAGAUGUUUCCUAAGCCAACCCUAAUGAUGAAUGGUGCUAGAUGGAGUGCCAUUCGCUUAUUAACCACUGGGUUUAGUAUAAGAUGUAUGCCAUCCUGGCAAUCAGUCCUAGGUUAGCAUCUUAUUUCCUGAGUGGUGAAUGGAAAAUGUCCUCACUGACAGGAAAAAGUGUGGAAGGGUGUGAUGGCUAUUGGUUAGAUCAAAAGCUAAUUUGAGGCUAUUUCGGUUGCUAGAAGGGAGGGGGGUAGGGAUGAGA